Long non-coding RNA from Xiphophorus hellerii (green swordtail), 2311 nucleotides. RefSeq lists it as uncharacterized. The record is from RefSeq and is a predicted model, not a curated record. The transcript has 2 exons. NCBI's taxonomy places the organism in Eukaryota, Metazoa, Chordata, Actinopteri, Cyprinodontiformes, Poeciliidae.
GUCCUCCAGGUCGUCCUGCAUGAAGUACGAGUCGUGUGCGCACCGAAUAUUCUUCCUGUCCUGAGCAGCGUCAUUGUACGCUAGAAGUGGAGAGCAGAGGCAAACCCAGGGAGCCAUAGAGGCCCAGCCAGCUCCAUGGAGCCCCAAUCACCCCACUCUGGCAUUGUGUCCCCUCAUGCACACUUGCCUCACAGGACACGCAGAGCAGACUUCAACUCAGGGCCCUUUUCUUCAGAGGACACAUGGGCCCCACUUCUCCACAAGUGUGCACGCACUGGUUGUGCAGCUUCAUUCAGCUCUUAUCCCUGCCUGAAGGUGAAGCGGUUCACUUUAUCCGUGAAACUGAGACUUUCUUGAAAUGCAUUUGUCUACUGCAACACGUGGCAACAAGCGCCUGCUUCGUCAUAUUAGGGCUGCAACUAGCGACCGUUUUAGUUAGCGAUUAUUUUGACGACUAAUCGGAUAAGAAAUUGGCAUAUUCUUCAGAUUUUUCAUUUUAGACUUUUUAUACUAUAUUAGAAAUACACAAAAAUGCAAAUAAACUAAAUUUAAUUCCCUUUUUAGGUAUGGAAAUGAACAUUUUAUUGUGUAAAAUGGAAUAACACAGCAUUUGUUGAGUGAACGCUUGGUCAUUUGUAGUAACAUCAAUAAGUGAAAAAAACAUUUCUCCUAGACUUGACAUCAUGUCAAUUGAUAAUCAUCAAUUGACAUCAAUUGAUGAUUAUUUUUUGGAGCAAUAACGCUUAAUAGUUGAUUAUUUUGUACAGAAUUUGAACCAGGUGAAGCUAAAACUGCCACUUUAGGAGUUCUGGGUGGAUCGGAUUUAUAGAUACAGAGUUUUUUUUCUUAAAUGCAAAAUGUAUUUAUUUUUUGUACAGUUUUGACUCAGUAUGUUCUUUCAGCAAAAGGUCUUUUUUAGAGCCUCUGUACUCUAAGUUUAACAGUUAUUUGAUUCCUAAGUCAGGUGACAAUUAUUUCAAUAAUCGAUUAAUCACGAUUAAACCGAUUAAUCGUUUCAGCCCUACGUCAUAAAUGACUCAACAAACUCAUCCAGUCUGUGUCAAAUGUCUCAAUAUGCCAAUAAUCUUAAUGAUCGCAGCAAAACGGAAAUUGAUAUUUUCUAAAUUGGUAAAAAAAAUACAGUAUAAACAUCCAACAGUAUUUAAUUUGAUAUAAGUUUUACAUUUUUAUCUUAAAAAUCUGAUGAAAGGCAAAUGCUUUGGUAUAUAAGUGGCAAAAAAGUCUUUCUUUUAAAUUUCAAAACAGCGAGUGCAGUUUCUGUAAAAAAAGGACAGUAGCUGAUUAUUGGUUUCACAUGAGCCAGUCAAUCAGUACAACCCUAAUUCUUCAUUUCCUAAUUUUCUGCUGAUUCAAAAAAAUAAUUAAAAUUUUAAUUCUAAUUGGACAAUUUCUUUUGAUCAGCUCACACAAUCAAUCGGUAAGUCAAAUACAAAAGAAUUUUUUUCUUCUUCUUAGUAAAUGCAUCAAAACUGAAAGCUCCCUCUAUCUUCUGCCAACAUGUAAUAAAGGAAAUCAGAAAAAGUUAAUGGACGUACGCUUUAAUUCAUAGAGUUGAUUUUCCAAACGUACCAUUUUCUGCUGGAUUUAAAACUUUACAAUAAGGCUCUCAUUAUGGAUGGAUAAUAAAUAGUUCAUAGACAUGUUACUAAUUCAUCUCUAAACACUUUAUAAAUUAUUAAUAACUGAUCAUUAUACAUUAAUUAAGGAAAAGGAAAGGAGACAAAAUCUACUGGUUCCUUGCAAACUAGUGAGCCAAAUCUGUUCUCAUAUGUAUUUUAAUCUAGAGUUGUUACACUAAACAUUUCAGACUACACUGUAAGCACAAAAGCAUUUGUGAGCAUAAUGUUUUUUAGCUUCCAGUCUCAUUUGUACUCUUAUUUGUUAUUAAUGACUUAUAAAGUGUUUAUAAACUAUUUAUUAGCCAUCUAUUAGGAGAGUCUUAUUGUAAAGUGAUACCAAAACUCCUAUCUCUAACAAAAAACCUGGAACAAUUUCUUUCCCAAUUAUCAGAAUCAGAUUAUUUUCCGUAAUUACUCCUGAUGUAUUUGGGAGGUCAAAUACGAAAACAUCUUAUGGAAACUAAGAACUCCUGUUAUCUUCCAUCCAUGAAUGCAACAAGCAGUAAGUUGCCGUUUGAUUGCGCUUUUUCUAGCUUAAAAUAAACCAGAUAAAGACUAGAGACAUUUGCACUAAAGCAAAUGUUCUUGUAAUUAUUUCAUUUUAUGUUCAAGUUUUACUCAAUCAAGGCACCUGUAACAGCUUCGUUAACUUUUAAGUCUGUAAAACAAAA